Molecule: ribosomal RNA, 253 nt
Filed under: uncultured bacterium
Lineage: Bacteria
Description: partial 16S ribosomal RNA
Rfam family: Bacterial small subunit ribosomal RNA
Source: RNAcentral
UACGUAGGGGGCAAGCGUUGUCCGGAUUUACUGGGCGUAAAGAGCUCGUAGGCGGUCUGUUGCGUCGGCUGUGAAAACCCGGGGCUCAACUCCGGGCCUGCAGCCGAUACGGGCAGACUAGAGUUCGGCAGGGGAGACUGGAAUUCCUGGUGUAGCGGUGAAAUGCGCAGAUAUCAGGAGGAACACCGGUGGCGAAGGCGGGUCUCUGGGCCGAUACUGACGCUGAGGAGCGAAAGCGUGGGGAGCGAACAGG